Non-coding RNA from Camellia sinensis, 507 nucleotides. Lineage: Eukaryota; Viridiplantae; Streptophyta; Magnoliopsida; Ericales; Theaceae. The record is from RefSeq and is a predicted model, not a curated record.
CAUAGUUGAAGUGUACCAUGUAGCGUAGAUUUUCCAUAGGGUUAUUUUUCAUUUGAUGUAUGCUCGUUUCCAUUUCAUUAGGAGAUAGUGUCUUCAUUUUCAUUUCUUCACAAAUUGACUCUAAAGUUCUAAGUGGAUGAUUAAACAGGGGAUGAUGGUUGAAUUUGCAAAGAAUGUGGCUGAUUUUGCCGCUGCUAGUGGAAAAAAGCACAUUGUUGUGCUUUCUAGCUUAGAUUUUGGACGGUGGCAAACAAUUGAUAUGUCAAGAUAUUUCCCGAGUAGGUUUGCUUCUUAUGGAAUGCAUGCCUGUGAAGAAUGCGACUAACUUUUGUUUUUUAUUUAUGUUAUUUUGAAUUGUGAACAACAUUAUGUAUUUAAAUAUUAUAUAUGUAUUAUGCAACAUUAUGUAGUGGGGUAAUUUUGCUAAUGUAUAGUUAUGAAUGCAAGAAUAUUUUUAUUAUGGAGAAAUUGUUAUUUUUAUACAGGAAUUUUUAUAUUAUUAUGCAA